This 325-nucleotide ribosomal RNA is filed under the name uncultured eukaryote. Its description in RNAcentral is "partial 18S ribosomal RNA". It matches the Rfam family "Eukaryotic small subunit ribosomal RNA", at positions 1470 to 1796 of the family's 1831-position model. The record is from RNAcentral.
CCCUUAGAUGUUCUGGGCCGCACGCGUGCUACACUGAGUGGAUCAGCGGGUCAGGUUGCGCGAAAGCGUUUCCUAAUCUUUAAAUCCGCUCGUGAUGGGGAUUGACGGUUGCAAUUUUCCGUCAUGAACGAGGAAUACCUUGUAAGCGCGGGUCAUCAUCCCGCGCUGAAUACGUCCCUGCCCUUUGUACACACCGCCCGUCGCUACUACCGAUUGAAUGGUUUAGUGAGGACUCCUGAUUGGCGCCGCCGCCCCGGCAACGGAGCAGCGGACUGCCGAAAAGUUGUUCAAACUUGAUCAUUUAGAGGAAGUAAAAGUCGUAACA